GAUGAACGCUGGCGGCGUGCCUAAUACAUGCAAGUCGAGCGAACGGACGAGAAGCUUGCUUCUCUGAUGUUAGCGGCGGACGGGUGAGUAACACGUGGAUAACCUACCUAUAAGACUGGGAUAACUUCGGGAAACCGGAGCUAAUACCGGAUAAUAUUUUGAACCGCAUGGUUCACAAGUAAAAGACGGUUUUGCUGUCACUUAUAGAUGGAUCCGCGCUGCAUUAGCUAGUUGGUAAGGUAACGGCUUACCAAGGCAACGAUGCAUAGCCGACCUGAGAGGGUGAUCGGCCACACUGGAACUGAGACACGGUCCAGACUCCUACGGGAGGCAGCAGUAGGGAAUCUUCCGCAAUGGGCGAAAGCCUGACGGAGCAACGCCGCGUGAGUGAUGAAGGUCUUCGGAUCGUAAAACUCUGUUAUUAGGGAAGAACAUAUGUGUAAGUAACUGUGCACAUCUUGACGGUACCUAAUCAGAAAGCCACGGCUAACUACGUG
Molecule: ribosomal RNA, 497 nt
Filed under: uncultured bacterium
Lineage: Bacteria
Description: partial 16S ribosomal RNA
Rfam family: Bacterial small subunit ribosomal RNA
Source: RNAcentral